AUGAGGUUUUCAGAAACCAUCUUUGCUUCAUUAGUACCAGAUGUGGGCUCCAGAAGCAGAGAGCUAUCAGGGUUCACCAAGAUGAGCACUGAGACAGGCCCUUCUAGGUCUGAGGCUGAGGAAGCAGCAGCAACUUGGUGCCUGUCCCCACUCCCCCAGCUGUCUACAGCUCAGAAGCCAAAAGCUCAGCUACUCCUAUUUGGAGAUGCAGUAGAGUGCUUCCUGGUCCAGAUUGAUAAUAAAAUCCUCUUGAUUAUGAUACCCCUACCUGAACUUUGGGCAAAGAAAGAAAGAAGUGGCCAUAUAUUAAAUCAAGAAAAGUUAUAGAAAGCUUUUGGAGAAGAGUUGUUUAAAGUGCACUGGAUCACAUUAAAAAAAAAGAGGAUGAAAGAACAGCUGAGAAGAGAUCUACAGAGAAUCAAAGAAUAAUAAAACACAAAGUCUUUUAUUGAGAAACUGCACAAAUUAACUCCAAAUUACUACCACUGUCAUACAAGAGGAGGCUUCAAGGCACAAAACUUGUUGCUGCACUCCAUCUUGCUUUAUUGUGGUGUCUUCACUCAUGUACUAGUAGCUAAAAGCCAUCCUCUUUAGAGUACUACAUCUUUUAUCUCCUCUCUUCCCCCCUGUAUUUUAAUUAAAAGACAAUGAACCUUUUAAAGUAGUCAAAUGGAAAAUAUAAAAUUGCACCAUUUUAUCAGAGCUUAAGAUAUUCGUGUUCUCCAAUCAUGAGAAGAAUUCAAAAUAACAUACUUGGUAUUUUAUUACACGCCAGUCCCUCUCUGCCCUUUCUUUAUCGGGGCACUUGGUUGGAAGAGCUAUUUGAAACUAGAAAGGCAAUUCAACCUCAGACUGAUAAAUAGAGUUUUUGUUUUGUUUUUUUUUAAAGGCCAAGAAAGAUCAAUUUAAUCUAUUCUCUGGAUCAUCGUAGCUGAUUUUUAAUUUCUAAAAUAAUAUUGUUACUCUGCAUUUCUCCUAAAUUUAAGUGGCAGGUCUAAAAAUAAGUAGCCUGUCUUAUUUAAGCAUUAUUUACUCAUCAUGUUGUCAGUUUGAAGGCAUGUGGACUAAAAUAAGAAAAAUACAGUAAAAUGUUAUUGGAUGGUAAGAAGGCCGGAAUGCUUUGCUUUCCUCUAACUCUACAGCCUAAAUCUAUUAAUUUUGGCAAAGGGCACCAAGACAAAUCCAUGCUGUUUGAAAUGUUCCAUGGGAGCCUUUAAAAAUGAAGGUCUUGUCUACUCUUUAUGGACAUUAAAAUGCUUCAUCCCAAGGACCCUUUAUAGCAAAUUGCAAGCUGUUCUGUUUUAUCUGCUUUGACAGGAUGAAGGGCUGAGCUGGCCCUAGAGGGAUGGGAUACAGAGACUGAAUAGUUCAAACUUGAGAUUUCCAAUAAACCAUUUUCUACAAUUAGAAAAAAGACAUGGAAGAUAGUCAUUUCAGCAGAUAGUUUCAACCCAUUAAGAAUUACUUAUUGCAUCACUUAAAAUCUAACUAAAAUCAUGUUCCUUCAAUGCUUCACUCCAAACUAGCACUAAAGCCCUUAAAAUCAGCCU
Fukomys damarensis (Damara mole-rat) is the source of this 1550-nucleotide long non-coding RNA. The record is from Ensembl. Lineage: Eukaryota; Metazoa; Chordata; Mammalia; Rodentia; Bathyergidae.